Pelobates cultripes (western spadefoot toad) is the source of this 367-nucleotide non-coding RNA. Lineage: Eukaryota; Metazoa; Chordata; Amphibia; Anura; Pelobatidae. The record is from the annotation of a GenBank genome assembly.
UUAUUCAUGUAGGAAUUUCUUUGGGUCCUGCUCGUUGUGGUAUUUAUAUAUAAGGACAUUUGGAGUCUAUUGGGACAAAUACUGAUAAUUACAGAUUUUUACAGGGAAUUUGUUUAUACACCCACCUGUUAUUGUUCAACCCACUUGGGGAACCCAGGUGCACACAAAUUGGUGGGGUUUAUAAGUCUGAAUGGGGGUGGACUACAUCUAAGCUCUUCUUCGAAAAAGUCCUGAGGAAGAAACCGGUCGGACACAUACGGAGCCUCUAUAACUCUCUCUUCACUCUAUUUAGGACAUUCUUAUCCAGAACUUACUCCUUUAUUACCCCUUGCAAUCCGUAACCUUGGUGCAUUCAGGAGCUGACUCA